RNAcentral lists this ribosomal RNA (352 nucleotides) under uncultured Racocetra. RNAcentral describes it as "SSU rRNA". It matches the Rfam family "Eukaryotic small subunit ribosomal RNA", at positions 569 to 929 of the family's 1831-position model. Lineage: Eukaryota; Fungi; Glomeromycota; Glomeromycetes; Diversisporales; Gigasporaceae. The record is from RNAcentral.
AGCAGCCGCGGUAAUUCCAGCUCCAAUAGCGUAUAUUAAAGUUGUUGCAGUUAAAAAGCUCGUAGUUGAAUUUCGGGGUUCUACCGUUGGUCGGGCUUUGUCUGUACUGGCGUGUAGAAUUUCUACCUUCUGGGGAACUAUCAUGUUAUUAAUUUAACGUGGUGGGAAACCAGGACCUUUACCUUGAAAAAAUCAGAGUGUUCAAAGCAGGCUUAUGUCUGAAUACAUUAGCAUGGAAUAAUAGAAUAGGACGGUGGUCCUGUUUUGUUGGUUUCUGAAUCACCGUAAUGAUUAAUAGGGAUAGUUGGGGGCAUUAGUAUUCAAUUGUCAGAGGUGAAAUUCUUGGAUUUAU